AGCGAACGCUGGCGGCAGGCUUAACACAUGCAAGUCGAGCGGGCCCUUCGGGGUCAGCGGCAGACGGGUGAGUAACACGUGGGAACGUACCCUUUGGUUCGGAAUAACGCUGGGAAACUAGCGCUAAUACCGGAUACGCCCUUUUGGGGAAAGGCUUGCUGCCGAAGGAUCGGCCCGCGUCUGAUUAGCUAGUUGGUGGGGUAAUGGCCUACCAAGGCGACGAUCAGUAGCUGGUCUGAGAGGAUGAUCAGCCACACUGGGACUGAGACCCGGCCCAGACUCCUACGGGAGGCAGCAGUGGGGAAUAUUGGACAAUGGGCGCAAGCCUGAUCCAGCCAUGCCGCGUGAGUGAUGAAGGCCUUAGGGUUGUAAAGCUCUUUUGUCCGGGACGAUAAUGACGGUACCGGAAGAAUAAGCCCCGGCUAACUUCGUG
RNAcentral lists this ribosomal RNA (433 nucleotides) under uncultured bacterium. RNAcentral's name for it is "partial 16S ribosomal RNA". It matches the Rfam family "Bacterial small subunit ribosomal RNA", at positions 29 to 507 of the family's 1533-position model. The record is from RNAcentral.